RNAcentral lists this ribosomal RNA (231 nucleotides) under uncultured Staphylococcus sp. RNAcentral describes it as "partial 16S ribosomal RNA". It matches the Rfam family "Bacterial small subunit ribosomal RNA", at positions 109 to 334 of the family's 1533-position model. Lineage: Bacteria; Bacillati; Bacillota; Bacilli; Caryophanales; Staphylococcaceae. The record is from RNAcentral.
AGUAACACGUGGAUAACCUACCUAUAAGACUGGGAUAACUUCGGGAAACCGGAGCUAAUACCGGAUAAUAUUUUGAACCGCAUGGUUCAAAAGUGAAAGACGGUCUUGCUGUCACUUAUAGAUGGAUCCGCGCUGCAUUAGCUAGUUUGUAAGGUAACGGCUUACCAAGGCAACGAUGCAUAGCCGACCUGAGAGGGUGAUUGGCCACACUGGAACUGAGACACGGUCCAG